GAUGAACGCUGGCGGCGUGCCUAAUACAUGCAAGUCGAGCGAACAGACGAGGAGCUUGCUCCUCUGACGUUAGCGGCGGACGGGUGAGUAACACGUGGAUAACCUACCUAUAAGACUGGGAUAACUUCGGGAAACCGGAGCUAAUACCGGAUAAUAUAUUGAACCGCAUUGUUCAAUAGUGAAAGACGGUUUUGCUGUCACUUAUAGAUGGAUCCGCGCCGCAUUAGCUAGUUGGUAAGGUAACGGCUUACCAAGGCAACGAUGCGUAGCCGACCUGAGAGGGUGAUCGGCCACACUGGAACUGAGACACGGUCCAGACUCCUACGGGAGGCAGCAGUAGGGAAUCUUCCGCAAUGGGCGAAAGCUUGACGGAGCAACGCCGCGUGAGUGAUGAAGGUCUUCGGAUCGUAAAACUCUGUUAUUAGGGAAGAACAAAUGUGUAAGUAACUAUGCACGUCUUGACGGUACCUAAUCAGAAAGCCACGGCUAACUACGUG
RNAcentral lists this ribosomal RNA (497 nucleotides) under uncultured bacterium. RNAcentral's name for it is "partial 16S ribosomal RNA". It matches the Rfam family "Bacterial small subunit ribosomal RNA", at positions 28 to 507 of the family's 1533-position model. The record is from RNAcentral.